This 301-nucleotide ribosomal RNA is filed under the name uncultured bacterium. RNAcentral's name for it is "partial 16S ribosomal RNA". It matches the Rfam family "Bacterial small subunit ribosomal RNA", at positions 509 to 807 of the family's 1533-position model. The record is from RNAcentral.
CAGUCGCCGCGGGAAUACGUAGGGUGCAAGCGUUAAUCGGAAUUACUGGGCGUAAAGCGUGCGCAGGCGGUUAUAUAAGACAGAUGUGAAAUCCCCGGGCUCAACCUGGGAACUGCAUUUGUGACUGUAUAGCUAGAGUACGGCAGAGGGGGAUGGAAUUCCGCGUGUAGCAGUGAAAUGCGUAGAUAUGCGGAGGAACACCGAUGGCGAAGGCAAUCCCCUGGGCCAGUACUGACGCUCAUGCACGAAAGCGUGGGGAGCAAACAGGAUUAGAUACCCCCGUAGUCCCUGUCUCUUAUAC